Molecule: ribosomal RNA, 253 nt
Filed under: uncultured bacterium
Lineage: Bacteria
Description: partial 16S ribosomal RNA
Rfam family: Bacterial small subunit ribosomal RNA
Source: RNAcentral
UACGGGGGGGGCAAGCGUUGUUCGGAAUUACUGGGCGUAAAGGGCCAGUAGGCGGCCGACUAAGUCCGACGUGAAAUCCCCAGGCUUAACCGGGGAACUGCGUCUGAUACUGGAUGGCUUGAGAUUGGGAGAGGGAUGCGGAAUUCCAGGUGUAGCGGUGAAAUGCGUAGAUAUCUGGAGGAACACCGGUGGCGAAGGCGGCAUCCUGGACCAACACUGACACUGAGGAGCGAAAGCCAGGGGAGCAAACGGG